GAGCGGGAAAGCUCAAAUUUAAAAUCUGGUGGUCUUUGGCCAUCCGAGUUGUAAUCUAGAGAAGUGUUACCCGUGUCGGACCGUGUACAAGUCUCCUGGAAUGGAGCGUCAUAGAGGGUGAGAAUCCCGUCUUUGACACGGACUACCGAGGCUUUGUGGUGUGCUCUCAAAGAGUCGAGUUGUUUGGGAAUGCAGCUCAAAAUGGGUGGUAAAUUCCAUCUAAAGCUAAAUAUUGGCGAGAGACCGAUAGCGAACAAGUACCGUGAGGGAAAGAUGAAAAGAACUUUGGAAAGAGAGUUAAACAGUACGUGAAAUUGCUGAAAGGGAAACGCUUGAAGUCAGUCGCGUUAGCCGGAAAUCAGCCUUGCUUUUGCUGGGUGUAUUUUCUGGUUGAUGGGCCAGCAUCAGUUUUGACCGGUGGAAAAAGUCUAGAGGAAUGUGGCAUCUUCGGAUGUGUUAUAGCCUCUGGUCGUAUGCAUCGAUUGGGACUGAGGAACUCAGCACUUGUGCUUAGGAUGCUGGCAUAAUGGCUUUAAUCGACCCGU
Molecule: ribosomal RNA, 545 nt
Filed under: Psathyrella sp.
Lineage: Eukaryota; Fungi; Basidiomycota; Agaricomycetes; Agaricales; Psathyrellaceae
Description: partial large subunit ribosomal RNA
Rfam family: Eukaryotic large subunit ribosomal RNA
Source: RNAcentral